GUGAGGAAUAUUGGUCAAUGGGCGAGAGCCUGAACCAGCCAAGUCGCGUGAAGGAAGAAGGAUCUAUGGUUCGUAAACUUCUUUUGCAGGGGAAUAAAGUGCAGGACGUGUCCUGUUUUGUAUGUACCCUGAGAAUAAGGAUCGGCUAACUCCGUGCCAGCAGUCGCGGUAAUACGGAGGAUCCGAGCGUUAUCCGGAUUUAUUGGGUUUAAAGGGUGCGUAGGUGGUUUGAUAAGUCAGCGGUGAAAGUUUGCAGCUUAACUGUAAAAAUGCCGUUGAAACUGUCGGACUUGAGUGUAAAUGAGGUAGGCGGAAUGCGUGGUGUAGCGGUGAAAUGCAUAGAUAUCACGCAGAACUCCGAUUGCGAAGGCAGCUUACUAAGCUACAACUGACACUGAAGCACGAAAGCGUGGGGAUCAAACAGGAUUAGAUACCCUUGUAGUCC
This 445-nucleotide ribosomal RNA is filed under the name uncultured bacterium. RNAcentral describes it as "partial 16S ribosomal RNA". It matches the Rfam family "Bacterial small subunit ribosomal RNA", at positions 354 to 796 of the family's 1533-position model. The record is from RNAcentral.